CAACACAUGUACCAGAAACUGUGUUUCAGUGACUGGAAGGGGAGGGAGGUGGCAGUUACAUCAAAGAUGUACAAGAAAAGGGUCAAGAGGAAGUUCCUGGGCCUUCAAAUUACUGCCCCAUAGAUGUGAAGGAUUUUAAUACUUAUUGCUCUUUAUGAACAAAUCUGAGCACAAGCUAAAGCUCGCUAUUAACACCAAAAUACCACAAAAGUCUUUCUCAUACUUUACCAGCCACAGACUGUAAGUCCAAAAGGUAUUUGUGAGGUUGUGUAUGGGCCUAAAGCCUUUCUAGUAAGAGGGGACUUUUAAAAGCACAGUUAUUUGCACCAAUUAAAAGAUUAACACCUUUAAGAAUCUUGGCAUGUCUCUGGUUUGGGGGUAGGAAGAAGUCCGUUCCACCUACGUUGGCAACUUGCUCUGCUGUAAUCCUGUAAUUUUCGGGAGCCACUGGGGAAUAGUUGUUAAAACUUCUCAGAGAAGAUGGCUGGUUUUGAUACAAAAAACUUCUGCAUUGACUUCAGAUUUUUACAGAAAGCAUUUAGCUGAACUUACACUUGGGACAAAUUUCCUUUGGCAUUGUAUCAAGCGUUUUCCUACAUCACAGAAGCUUUCCAUGACGACUUGUUAUUUCUCAGAAUCAAUAAACACCCAGCUAAAUGCUGCCAAUAUUUAAUUAGAUCUGUACUAAGUUUCCCUGCUUGUUAACAGGGCUUCCCAUCAAACUUCAGGAAGGAAGUUCUUCCCUGUAAACACGAAGCUCCAAACAGACCAAGACCCAUCUUCACCUGCUCAGGGUCUGUGACCGAAACACCAUUCGAAGCACGCCGUGCGCUGAAAAAGUUGGCAGGAUACCUCCCGAGGAGCAAUUUGCAGCCUAGGCAAUGAACUGCUGGAGUGCUCAGUUUGCCAUACCCAGGGUUGUUCUUAAUACAGGUUACUUUCCAUGGAACAAUGCCAGAAACCACAGUGCUGGUACAACUGAUGAAGCAAGGCCCUGGGACAGAGAGGAAAGAAAAGCAGUUGGGUUAGCAGGCACUGAGGAGGAGGCGUGCCUGGGAUCAAGGAACUACCGGCUCAGAAGGUGUCUCUUCCACUACUAAGGGUAGAAUGCACUCAGAAGGGUCUUAUAAUAAACCAUUAACAAACAGAAAGUUCACACACAAAUGGAUAAUGUAUUUGGUUUUAAAAAAGACUCAGACUAAAGAGUAAAAAUUGCUCAAUAUGUGGCUUCUGUAGAAAAGGUAGCUAUAAACAUAUAAGUGUUAGGGAAUGUGUAUAUAUACAAACAUGCACAUGCAUACACACACAUACACAUAUUCACACACAUGCACAAAAAGUAGCUCUAAAUGUACAAGAAAUGCAAAAUAUGUCUCGCUACAGAGUCUUUGCCAGCCUUCAUGCAGCUCUGAUCCUCUCCUCUGGACAGGCGGUUGUUGAAAGCAACAACCUGAGAAGCCUACAGAGGGAGCAGGUCGCCUUCUUUUCUCGAAUGACAGGCGUUUUCACCAGUAAGUGGCGAUCCCGAGAGAGUAGACAAACGUAGAGGAUGAAAAUAUCUUCGGGAGCACAGCCUAGGGCCAGAGUGAGUUACCCUUCCAUCAGGGAGCAGCAGCAGCACCUGCCUCUCGAGGCAUGGGCAAAAGGGCUGCAGAUCCACAUCUACCAUCUUUUCCCCCUUCCCUCUUCUUCAGGUUCACAUCUCACCUCCUCAACGAGUCAAGAAUCUCAUGGGUUUUCCCCCUUCUGCAGUCACUGGGGUGUCCCAGCACUUCAGCUCAUUGCAGAAUGGAGAUUUGCUUGUUUAGAAACUGAGUAGAGUUUAAUCUUCCAACACCUACAGCCAAAGUAAUAGAGCACUGCCUAGAAUUAAGGGAAGAAUGCACUAGGAAAAUACUGAGAUUUCCUUUUGAAGAAAAAUAAUAACUCAAAAAUGUGUAACUGUAUGGCCCAGACAACGUAAGAGAAGUCGUAUUCAACAGAACCAAUAUUAAAGCUGCAUUCAGAAGACAGAACGUACACAAAUGUCAGUUAUUGUCAUUAGAAACUAUGUGCCUGAAUUGAACGUUACAUUUAUUCUAAUUUACAUGUGCAUACACUCCUAAGAAUCUUUACCCCCUGUAUACCUGUAUUGUAUGUGCAGAAAACUACUAAUUAUUAGGACAAUAUAGAGCCCAGAAAGCUCAGCCUAG
Cuculus canorus (common cuckoo) is the source of this 2189-nucleotide long non-coding RNA. RefSeq lists it as uncharacterized. The transcript is spliced from 3 exons. Lineage: Eukaryota; Metazoa; Chordata; Aves; Cuculiformes; Cuculidae. The record is from RefSeq and is a predicted model, not a curated record.